AUUGAACGCUGGCGGCAUGCCUUACACAUGCAAGUCGAACGGUAACAGGUCUUCGGAUGCUGACGAGUGGCGCACGGGGGAGUAAUACAUCGGAACGUGCCCGAUCGUGGGGGAUAACGAGGCGAAAGCUUUGCUAAUACCGCAUACGAUCUACGGAUGAAAGCGGGGGAGCUUCGGACCUCGCGCGGACGGAGCGGCCGAUGGCAGAUUAGGUAGUUGGUGGGAUAAAAGCUUACCAAGCCGACGAUCUGUAGCUGGUCUGAGAGGAUGAUCAGCCACACUGGGACUGAGACACGGCCCAGACUCCUACGGGAGGCAGCAGUGGGGAAUUUUGGACAAUAGGCGAAAGCCUGAUCCAGCCAUGCCGCGUGCAGGAUGAAGGCCUUCGGGUUGUAAACUGCUUUUGUACGGAACGAAAAGCCUCUUUCUAAUAAAGAGGGGUCAUGACGGUACCGUAAGAAUAAGCACCGGCUAACUACGUG
Molecule: ribosomal RNA, 482 nt
Filed under: uncultured bacterium
Lineage: Bacteria
Description: partial 16S ribosomal RNA
Rfam family: Bacterial small subunit ribosomal RNA
Source: RNAcentral